CCUUUCUACUUUUUCUUCCCUUUCCCUUUCUAUUUUCACUUCAGAUUUUUUUCACCUCUUCAUCACCUAAUCCCACACCCAAAACUAUUUUUGAAUGAAUUUUAUGCCAUAUCAGGCCACCAUAAAUAAGGAUGAAGGGGUGCCACACAAGGCAUCAAGGGGCACCAACUCUUGGCGUCCUAACUCCCUUACAUGCUCCCCUAACUCCCUUACAUGCUCCAUAUUAA
Molecule: long non-coding RNA, 227 nt
Filed under: Elaeis guineensis (African oil palm)
Lineage: Eukaryota; Viridiplantae; Streptophyta; Magnoliopsida; Arecales; Arecaceae
Description: long non-coding RNA (EGUI_LNC065149)
Source: RNAcentral